GACGAACGCUGGCGGCGUGCUUAACACAUGCAAGUCGAACGGAAAGGCCCCUUUGGGGGUACUCGAGUGGCGAACGGGUGAGUAACACGUGAGUAACCUGCCCUUGACUUCGGGAUAACUUCAGGAAACUGGGGCUAAUACCGGAUAGGAAUCCUUGCUGCAUGGUGGGGGUUGGAAAGCUUCGGCGGUUUUGGAUGGACUCGCGGCUUAUCAGCUUGUUGGUGGGGUAGUGGCUUACCAAGGCUUUGACGGGUAGCCGGCCUGAGAGGGCGACCGGCCACAUUGGGACUGAGAUACGGCCCAGACUCCUACGGGAGGCAGCAGGGGGGAAUAUUGCACAAUGGGCGGAAGCCUGAUGCAGCAACGCCGCGGGCGGGAUGACGGCCUUCGGGUUGGAAACCGCUUUCAGCAGGGGCGAAGCUUGUGGUGACGGUACCUGCAGAAGAAGCACCGGCUAACUACGUG
Molecule: ribosomal RNA, 465 nt
Filed under: uncultured bacterium
Lineage: Bacteria
Description: partial 16S ribosomal RNA
Rfam family: Bacterial small subunit ribosomal RNA
Source: RNAcentral